Long non-coding RNA from Drosophila guanche, 216 nucleotides. RefSeq lists it as uncharacterized. The record is from RefSeq and is a predicted model, not a curated record. The transcript has 3 exons. NCBI's taxonomy places the organism in Eukaryota, Metazoa, Arthropoda, Insecta, Diptera, Drosophilidae.
UCGUUCUCCUCCUAGCUCCCUCAAGUCUUGCCAUAAAAUCAAAAGGUUGCAUGGUGAAUUGCCCAAUAUCAUACGACGGAAUGACAUGUGCCUUUGAUUUAGCUUGCGGAUUUGAGGCAGAAAAUGAAUGUCAGCUAAAAGUGGAGAUAUGUUUGCGUGAAUUAAACAAUAGACCCCGUUUUAUCAAAACGAGUCCUGGAUACUGUGUGGAUGACA